RNAcentral lists this ribosomal RNA (253 nucleotides) under uncultured bacterium. Its description in RNAcentral is "partial 16S ribosomal RNA". It matches the Rfam family "Bacterial small subunit ribosomal RNA", at positions 524 to 776 of the family's 1533-position model. The record is from RNAcentral.
UACAGAGGGGGCAAGCGUUAUUCGGAAUUAUUGGGCGUAAAGCGCACGUAGGCGGAUUGUUAAGUCGGGGGUGAAAUCCUGGAGCUCAACUCCAGAACUGCCUUCGAAACUGGCGAUCUUGAGUCCGGGAGAGGUGAGUGGAACUGCGAGUGUAGAGGUGAAAUUCGUAGAUAUUCGCAAGAACACCAGUGGCGAAGGCGGCUCACUGGCCCGGUACUGACGCUGAGGUGCGAAAGCGUGGGGAGCAAACAGG